Molecule: ribosomal RNA, 1536 nt
Filed under: Burkholderia cenocepacia
Lineage: Bacteria; Pseudomonadati; Pseudomonadota; Betaproteobacteria; Burkholderiales; Burkholderiaceae
Description: bacterial SSU rRNA
Rfam family: Bacterial small subunit ribosomal RNA
Source: RNAcentral
UUGAACUGAAGAGUUUGAUCCUGGCUCAGAUUGAACGCUGGCGGCAUGCCUUACACAUGCAAGUCGAACGGCAGCACGGGUGCUUGCACCUGGUGGCGAGUGGCGAACGGGUGAGUAAUACAUCGGAACAUGUCCUGUAGUGGGGGAUAGCCCGGCGAAAGCCGGAUUAAUACCGCAUACGAUCCACGGAUGAAAGCGGGGGACCUUCGGGCCUCGCGCUAUAGGGUUGGCCGAUGGCUGAUUAGCUAGUUGGUGGGGUAAAGGCCUACCAAGGCGACGAUCAGUAGCUGGUCUGAGAGGACGACCAGCCACACUGGGACUGAGACACGGCCCAGACUUCUACGGGAGGCAGCAGUGGGGAAUUUUGGACAAUGGGCGAAAGCCUGAUCCAGCAAUGCCGCGUGUGUGAAGAAGGCCUUCGGGUUGUAAAGCACUUUUGUCCGGAAAGAAAUCCUUGGCUCUAAUACAGUCGGGGGAUGACGGUACCGGAAGAAUAAGCGCCGGCUAACUACGUGCCAGCAGCCGCGGUAAUACGUAGGGUGCAAGCGUUAAUCGGAAUUACUGGGCGUAAAGCGUGCGCAGGCGGUUUGCUAAGACCGAUGUGAAAUCCCCGGGCUCAACCUGGGAACUGCAUUGGUGACUGGCAGGCUAGAGUAUGGCAGAGGGGGGUAGAAUUCCACGUGUAGCAGUGAAAUGCGUAGAGAUGUGGAGGAAUACCGAUGGCGAAGGCAGCACCCUGGGCCAAUACUGACGCUCAUGCACGAAAGCGUGGGGAGCAAACAGGAUUAGAUACCCUGGUAGUCCACGCCCUAAACGAUGUCAACUAGUUGUUGGGGAUUCAUUUCCUUAGUAACGUAGCUAACGCGUGAAGUUGACCGCCUGGGGAGUACGGUCGCAAGAUUAAAACUCAAAGGAAUUGACGGGGACCCGCACAAGCGGUGGAUGAUGUGGAUUAAUUCGAUGCAACGCGAAAAACCUUACCUACCCUUGACAUGGUCGGAAUCCCGCUGAGAGGUGGGAGUGCUCGAAAGAGAACCGGCGCACAGGUGCUGCAUGGCUGUCGUCAGCUCGUGUCGUGAGAUGUUGGGUUAAGUCCCGCAACGAGCGCAACCCUUGUCCUUAGUUGCUACGCAAGAGCACUCUAAGGAGACUGCCGGUGACAAACCGGAGGAAGGUGGGGAUGACGUCAAGUCCUCAUGGCCCUUAUGGGUAGGGCUUCACACGUCAUACAAUGGUCGGAACAGAGGGUUGCCAACCCGCGAGGGUGAGCUAAUCCCAGAAAACCGAUCGUAGUCCGGAUUGCACUCUGCAACUCGAGUGCAUGAAGCUGGAAUCGCUAGUAAUCGCGGAUCAGCAUGCCGCGGUGAAUACGUUCCCGGGUCUUGUACACACCGCCCGUCACACCAUGGGAGUGGGUUUUACCAGAAGUGGCUAGUCUAACCGCAAGGAGGACGGUCACCACGGUAGGAUUCAUGACUGGGGUGAAGUCGUAACAAGGUAGCCGUAUCGGAAGGUGCGGCUGGAUCACCUCCUUUC